This 72-nucleotide transfer RNA is filed under the name Jatropha curcas. It matches the Rfam family "tRNA". Rfam says of the family: Transfer RNA (tRNA) molecules are approximately 80 nucleotides in length. The record is from Rfam by way of RNAcentral. Lineage: Eukaryota; Viridiplantae; Streptophyta; Magnoliopsida; Malpighiales; Euphorbiaceae.
AAGAGUAUAGUUUAAUGGGUAAAAUAGGAAGCUUCAAACUUCAAAUUUUCUGUUCAAGUCAGGAUGCUCUUG